This 252-nucleotide ribosomal RNA is filed under the name uncultured bacterium. Its description in RNAcentral is "partial 16S ribosomal RNA". It matches the Rfam family "Bacterial small subunit ribosomal RNA", at positions 524 to 776 of the family's 1533-position model. The record is from RNAcentral.
UACGGAGGAUGCGAGCGUUAUCCGGAUUUAUUGGGUUUAAAGGGUGCGUAGGCGGUCCGUUAAGUCAGCGGUAAAAUUGCGGGGCUCAACCCCGUCGAGCCGUUGAAACUGGCAGACUUGAGUCGGCGAGAAGUACGCGGAAUGCGCGGUGUAGCGGUGAAAUGCAUAGAUAUCGCGCAGAACUCCGAUUGCGAAGGCAGCGUACCGGCGCCAGACUGACGCUGAGGCACGAAAGCGUGGGGAUCGAACAGG